Xyrauchen texanus (razorback sucker) is the source of this 414-nucleotide long non-coding RNA. RefSeq lists it as uncharacterized. The record is from RefSeq and is a predicted model, not a curated record. NCBI's taxonomy places the organism in Eukaryota, Metazoa, Chordata, Actinopteri, Cypriniformes, Catostomidae. The transcript has 4 exons.
GUCAGUUGAAGGGAGGAUGGAUACUGCAUAAAGUCAAGAAAACUGCUGGUGGGAAUAAAAUAGCCUACAGUUUAAAAUUCAGUGUCACCAUUAAGGAACUGUCAGAAACAACAGACUGACAGCUGAGGCCACCGAUCAAGAGAUCGAAUCAUUUAUUAAAAAAUGGCUUCAUCUUUCAAGUGACCGAGACGGAGGGAGAAGAGAAAGAGAGAAUCGGAGGAGGGUCCAAGACACCUGCUUGCAAGAUUGCCAUGACGCAGAUGGGCCCAGUAAAGGAGGUCAAAUUCUAUAAUUUUGGAUGGUUCCAUUUGCCAAGGUUUUGUAGUGUGUUCACUUCUGCGUUGUCUGUUUGUUUUUUUGGAUGACCAAAGCUACUGGAAAUAUGUUUUGUUUUUAUUUAGUUUCUACAAUGCU